This 253-nucleotide ribosomal RNA is filed under the name uncultured bacterium. RNAcentral's name for it is "partial 16S ribosomal RNA". It matches the Rfam family "Bacterial small subunit ribosomal RNA", at positions 524 to 776 of the family's 1533-position model. The record is from RNAcentral.
UACGGGGGGGGCAAGCGUUGUUCGGAAUUACUGGGCGUAAAGGGCUCGUAGGCGGCCAACUAAGUCGGAUGUGAAAUCCCCAGGCUUAACCUGGGAACUGCAUCCGAUACUGGAUGGCUUGAAUUCGGGAGAGGGAUGCAGAAUUCCAGGUGUAGCGGUGAAAUGCGUAGAUAUCUGGAGGAAUACCGGUGGCGAAGGCGGCAUCCUGGACCGAGAUUGACGCUGAUGAGCGAAAGCUAGGGGAGCAAACAGG